Molecule: long non-coding RNA, 2621 nt
Organism: Hypanus sabinus (Atlantic stingray)
Lineage: Eukaryota; Metazoa; Chordata; Chondrichthyes; Myliobatiformes; Dasyatidae
Exons: 3
Source: RefSeq, a predicted model, not a curated record
AGUGAGCGAGAGAGGGAGGGAGGGAGAGAGAGUCAGAGAGAGUGAGAGGGACAGAGAGGUUGGGAGAGAGACGGAGAGGUUGUUAGAGAGCGAGGGAGGGAAAGAGAGAGUGUGAAGGACAGAGAGGUCGGGAGAGAGACGGAGAGGUUGUUACAGAGCGAGAGAGGGAAGGAGAGAGAGAGAGAGUCAGAGAGUGAGAGGGACAGAGAGGUCGGGAGAGAGAUGGAGAGGUUGUUAGAGAGCGAGAGAGGGAGGGAGGGAGAGAGAGUCAGAGAGUGAGAGGGACAGAGAGGUCGGGAGAGAGACGGAGAGGUUGUUAGAGAGCGAGGGAGGGAGAGAGAGAGUGUGAAGGACAGAGAGGUCGGGAGAGAGACGGAGAGGUUGUUACAGAGCGAGAGAGGGAAGGAGAGAGAGAGUCAGAGAGUGAGAGGGACAGAGGUCGGGAGAGAGACGGAGAGGUUGUUAGAGAGCGAGAGAGGGAGGGAGGGAGAGAGAGUCAGAGUUAAUGUGAGGGACAGAGAGGCCGGGAGAGAGAUGGAGAGGUUGUUAGAGAGCGAGAGAAGGAAGGAGAGAGAGAGAGAGUCAGAGAGAGUGAGAGGGACAGAGAGGUCAGGAGAGAGAUGGAGAGGUUGUUAGAGAGCGAGAGAGGGAGGGAGGGAGAGAGAGUGAGGGACAGAGAGGUCGGGAGAGAGACGGAGGUUGUUAGAGAGCGAGAGAAGGAAGGAGAGAGAGAGAGAGUCAGAGAGAGUGAGAGGGACAGAGAGGUCAGGAGAGAGAUGGAGAGGUUGUUAGAGAGCGAGAGAGGGAGGGAGGGAGAGAGAGUGUGAGGGACAGAGAGGUCGGGAGAGAGACGGAGAGGUUGUUAGAGCGCGAGGGAGGGAGAGAGAGAGAGUCAGAGAGAUUGAGAGGGACAGAGGUCGGGAGAGAGAUGGAGAGGUUGUUAGAGAGCGAGAGAGGGAGGGAGGGAGAGAGAGAGAGAGGGACAGAGAGAGAGACGGAGAGGUUGUUAGUGAGCGAGAGAGGGAGGGAGGGAGAGAGAGUCAGAGAGAGUGAGAGGUACAGAGAGGUCGGGAGAGAGACGGAGAGGUUGUUAGAGAGCGAGAGAGGGAGAGAGAGAGAGAGAGUCAGAGAGAGUGAGAGGGACAGAGAGGUCGGGAGAGAGAUGGAGAUAUUGUUAGUGAGCGAGAGAGGGAGGGAGAGAGAGAGAGAGAGAGAGGGACAGAGAGGUCGGGAGAGAGACGGAGAGGUUGUUAGAGAGUGAGAGAGGGAGGGGGAGAGAGAGAGUCAGAGAGUGAGAGGAACAGAGAGGUCAGGAGAGAGAUGGAGAGGUUGUUAGAGAGCGAGAGAGGGAGGGAGAGAGAGAGAGUCAGAGAAAAUGAGAGGGACAGAGAGGUCGGGAGAGAGAUGGAGAGGUUAUUAGAGAGCGAGAGAGGGAGAGAGAGAGUCAGAGAGAUUGAGAGGGACAGAGGUCGGGAGAGAGAUGGAGAGGUUGUUAGAGAGCAAGAGAGGGAGGGAGGGAGAGAGAGAGAGAGGGACAGAGAGAGAGACGGAGAGGUUGUUAGUGAGCGAGAGAGGGAGGGAGAGAGAGAGAGUCAGAGAGAUUGAGAGGGACAGAGGUCGGGAGAGAGAUGGAGAGGUUGUUAGAGAGCGAGAGAGGGAGGGAGGGAGAGAGAGAGAGAGGGACAGAGAGAGAGACGGAGAGGUUGUUAGUGAGCGAGAGAGGGAGGGAGGGAGAGAGAGUCAGAGAGAGUGAGAGGUACAGAGAGGUCAGGAGAGAGACGGAGAGGUUGUUAGAGAGCGAGAGAGGGAGAGAGAGAGAGAGAGUCAGAGAGAGUGAGAGGGACAGAGAGGUCGGGAGAGAGUUGGAGAGGUUGUUAGAGAGCGAGAGAGGGAGGGAGAGAGAGAGAGUCAGAGAGUGAGAGGGACAGAGAGGUCGGGAGAGAGACGGAGAUAUUGUUAGUGAGCGAGAGAGGGAGGGAGGGAGAGAUAGUCAGAGAGAGUGAGAGGGACAGAGAGGUCGGGAGGGAGACGGAGAUAUUGUUAGUGAGCGAGAGAGGUUGUUAGAGAGCGAGAGAGGGAGAGAGAGUGAGAGUGACAGAGAGGUCGGGAGAGAGAUGGAGAGGUUGUUAGAGCGAGAGAGGGAGGGAGAGAGAGAGAGAGAGAGAGGGACAGAGAGGUCGGGAGAGAGACGGAGAGGUUGUUAGAGAGUGAGAGAGGGAGGGAGAGAGAGAGAGUCAGAGAAAAUGAGAGGGACAGAGAGGUCGGGAGAGAGAUGGAGAGGUUAUGAGAGAGCGAGAGAGGGAGGGAGAGAGAGAGAGUCAGAGAGAGUGAGAGGGACAGAGACGUCGGGAGAGAGACAGAGAUGUUAGAGAGCGAGAGAGGGAAGGAGAGAGAGAGAGUCAGAGAGUGAGAGGAACAGAGAGGUCGGGAGAGAGACGGAGAGGUUGUUAGAGCGCGAGAGAGGGAGGGAGGGAGAGAGAGAGAGAGGGACAGAGAGAGAGACGGAGAGGUUGUUAGUGAGCGAGAGAGGGAGAGAGAGAGAGAGAGAGGGACAGAGAGGUCGGGAGAGAGGUUGUUAGUGAGCGAGAGAGGGAGGGAGGGAGAGAGAGUCAGAGAGAGUG